GUAGGUGGCAAGCGUUGUCCGGAAUUAUUGGGCGUAAAGCGCGCGCAGGCGGUUCUUUAAGUCUGACGUGAAAGCCCACGGCUCAACCGUGGAGGGUCAUUGGAGACUGGAGAACUUGAGUACAGAAGAGGAAAGCGGAAUUCCACGUGUAGCGGUGAAAUGCGUAGAGAUGUGGAGGAACACCAGUGGCGAAGGCGGCUUUCUGGUCUGUAACUGACGCUGAGGCGCGAAAGCGUGGGGAGCAAACAGGGAUUAGAUACCCUGGUAGUCCACGCCGUAAACGAUGAGUGCUAAGUGUUAGGGGGGUUUUCCGCCCCCUUAGUGCUGCAGCUAACGCAUUAAGCACUCCGCCUGGGGAGUACGGCCGCAAGGCUG
This 375-nucleotide ribosomal RNA is filed under the name uncultured organism. RNAcentral describes it as "partial 16S ribosomal RNA". It matches the Rfam family "Bacterial small subunit ribosomal RNA", at positions 527 to 896 of the family's 1533-position model. The record is from RNAcentral.